Molecule: ribosomal RNA, 301 nt
Filed under: uncultured bacterium
Lineage: Bacteria
Description: partial 16S ribosomal RNA
Rfam family: Bacterial small subunit ribosomal RNA
Source: RNAcentral
CAGUCGCCGCGGUAAUACGUAGGGUGCAAGCGUUAAUCGGAAUUACUGGGCGUAAAGCGUGCGCAGGCGGUUAUAUAAGUCAGAUGUGAAAUCCCCGGGCUCAACCUGGGAACUGCAUUUGAGACUGUACGGCUAGAGUGUGUCAGAGGGGGGUAGAAUUCCACGUGUAGCAGUGAAAUGCGUAGAUAUGUGGAGGAAUACCGAUGGCGAAGGCAGCCCCCUGGGAUAACACUGACGCUCAUGCACGAAAGCGUGGGGAGCGAACAGGAUUAGAUACCCCUGUAGUCCCUGUCUCUUAUAU